Molecule: long non-coding RNA, 1706 nt
Organism: Cyprinus carpio carpio
Lineage: Eukaryota; Metazoa; Chordata; Actinopteri; Cypriniformes; Cyprinidae
Source: Ensembl
ACUGACUUGUUUAUUUGUAAUUCUCACUUGUAGUGCAUUUUGAAGUCGAAUUAAAACAUUACAAAAGAAGGUAUGAUAUACAAACUUUCAUCCACAACACUGUAUGAACUUUGAAUAUCAAAUGGCUUAUAAAAUUGAAUUUCUGACAUUUUGAUAAUACACCUUUCCUCACUUUGUACUACUCUGAAUGCAUGAUGAUGUUCAUCAAAAUUCUCUGUAAAUAGUUUGUUUACCAACAGAUAAAUGCAAUUUUCAACCAAAAGUACAUCACUUAUUUGACAGAAGACUGGCAUUUCACUUUCUAUUGCACUGCACACCACAAGUCCAGCUCUAUAUUCUACACCAUCAACUUUAACCCAACUGGUUGAGAAAACAUCUUUUGAUACGAACAUUUCAAGCAUUUGAUUGCUGACCUCAUUCCCUAUGGAAAAUGGUUUAAUUGGCCCAAACUCAUUAUGUUUGAGGGUGAAGGUUUCCCAAUGGUACGCAAUGGCCAUCUGAUGCUUUUUAGCUAAUGAUUUUGUUAUGUUUUUGAAAUUUUUAAAAAAAUCUUUGAACAUCUUAUGUUUGGCUUCGAACCUCAUUGACCACAUAUAUAAUAAGGGGCCAAUUUUCCUUAUAGAAGAAGGGUAAUGUAUCAUAUAAUGAUGUUUAGGAAUCAAAUUUUUAUGAGGAUACAAGUACUUGAAUAGUUUGUGAUGGUCAGCGAUCAAGUGCUUCAAAUACACUGUCAAACCUGAAGUGAGACAAGGUGAAAACACAAUGUUCAUUAUUUGAAGUAACAUAAGCAACAAACUCCAGUGUUUGUGUCCUGGAGGAACAAUGUCUCCUAACAAAAGUGGGAGAUUUUUCACAAGACAUAAUGUCUGAAUGGAAUUUAAACCAAUGCUAUUACCAGCACUAUCCAAAAUAACCUUUGUGGGACGAUUUUUCCGUUCUAAAAAUCCAUAAUCAAAAGAAUAAAUCCUUGAAAGUAAAUCCUCUUCAGAUAUAAAGUUUUGUGUGAGAUGUCCAAAAAGCAAUUUGAUUUCAUAUUGAACCACGCCCUCAAGAAGGUCAUGCAUUAUAUCAAAUGAGUAGUUAUUGCUAACAUGAAAGUACUUCAGUGUAUUAAUUAUGGAUUUUUUUUUCAAACCAUAUAGUGACCUCAAUUGUGGGUUUUCAUGGAGAGACUUGCAAUGUAUUUCAAAGAUUUCUUGUCCACGAAGGACCACCUUAGGAUCAUCCUCACUGUAUACUGUUUGAGAAUCAUUCUUUUCAAUUAAACAAAGGCGACAGAAAUGAUGGCUAUUAAAUGACUCAUUAAAACCAAGAAUUGAAUGCAUUCCUAGAUUAUCACCAGUGAUUUGUGCGAUGGUGCCGUAUAUCUGCUCAUCUGAGAAUGGGAGACUUAAUCCUUGGCUUUCAAGUAUCUUUAUAUCAUUUAUCAAUGGAUCCAGUAUAACAUCAAAACCGUACUUGCUUACAUCUUGUGUGUGAAAAAGUGCUAACAAAUGAAUGUUCAUCAGAACUGAGUUAAAUUUUGGAGGCAAGUUUCUUACAAUAAAAUAAAGGCAGCCAAUUUUGUGGAUACUACGUUUGGAGCCAAGGGGGUUAGCGGUUUCAAAAUCAUCAUAGUAUAUUUGAAUUUGUAAUGCAUGUCUUUUUGUUGUAAAUAAAGGGUGGGAUUUAAAAUAACUUCCAUCGCUAAAAUCUGUAAAAGUGUC